GAGCCAUUAGCUCAGCUGGUAGAGCAUCUGACUUUUAAUCAGAGGGUCAGAGCUUCGAAUCCUCUAUGGCUCA
Molecule: transfer RNA, 73 nt
Filed under: Staphylococcus aureus
Lineage: Bacteria; Bacillati; Bacillota; Bacilli; Caryophanales; Staphylococcaceae
Description: tRNA-Lys
Rfam family: tRNA
About the family: Transfer RNA (tRNA) molecules are approximately 80 nucleotides in length. Their secondary structure includes four short double-helical elements and three loops (D, anti-codon, and T loops). Further hydrogen bonds mediate the characteristic L-shaped molecular structure. tRNAs have two regions of fundamental functional importance: the anti-codon, which is responsible for specific mRNA codon recognition, and the 3' end, to which the tRNAs corresponding amino acid is attached (by aminoacyl-tRNA synthetases). tRNAs cope with the degeneracy of the genetic code in two manners: having more than one tRNA (with a specific anti-codon) for a particular amino acid; and 'wobble' base-pairing, i.e. permitting non-standard base-pairing at the 3rd anti-codon position.
Source: RNAcentral